UACGGAGGGUGCAAGCGUUAUCCGGAUUCACUGGGUUUAAAGGGUGUGUAGGCGGUUAUUUAAGUCAGUGGUGAAAUCUCCGGGCUCAACCCGGAAACUGCCAUUGAUACUAUUUAUCUUGAAUUCUGUUGAGGUAGGCGGAAUAUAUCAUGUAGCGGUGAAAUGCUUAGAUAUGAUAUAGAACACCGAUUGCGAAGGCAGCUUACUAAACAGAUAUUGACGCUGAGGCACGAAAGCGUGGGGAUCAAACAGG
This 253-nucleotide ribosomal RNA is filed under the name uncultured bacterium. Its description in RNAcentral is "partial 16S ribosomal RNA". It matches the Rfam family "Bacterial small subunit ribosomal RNA", at positions 524 to 776 of the family's 1533-position model. The record is from RNAcentral.